GCAGGGUGGGGUGGUGCAUGCCUGUAAUCCCAGCAGCUCAGGAGGCUGAGACAGGAGAAUUGUGUGUUCAAAGCCAGCUUUAGCCAAAGCAAGGUAUUAAGCAACUCAAUGAGACCCUGUCUCUA
Molecule: small RNA, 125 nt
Filed under: Marmota monax (woodchuck)
Lineage: Eukaryota; Metazoa; Chordata; Mammalia; Rodentia; Sciuridae
Source: RNAcentral